Molecule: ribosomal RNA, 443 nt
Filed under: uncultured bacterium
Lineage: Bacteria
Description: bacterial SSU rRNA
Rfam family: Bacterial small subunit ribosomal RNA
Source: RNAcentral
UAGGGAAUAUUGGACAAUGGGUGAGAGCCUGAUCCAGCCAUGCCGCGUGCAGGAAGAAGGCCUUCUGGGUUGUAAACUGCUUUUGCCAGGGGAUAAAAGACCCUUGCGAGGGAAAUUGAAGGUACCUGGUGAAUAAGCCACGGCUAACUACGUGCCAGCAGCCGCGGUAAUACGUAGGUGGCAAGCGUUGUCCGGAUUUAUUGGGUUUAAAGGGUGCGUAGGCGGUUCUUUAAGUCAGUGGUGAAAUACAGCCGCUUAACGGUUGAGGUGCCAUUGAUACUGGGGAACUUGAGUACAGACGAGGUAGGCGGAAUUGACGGUGUAGCGGUGAAAUGCAUAGAUAUCGUCAAGAACACCGAUAGCGAAGGCAGCUUACUAGACUGUAACUGACGCUGAUGCACGAAAGUGUGGGGAUCAAACAGGAUUAGAUACCCCCGUAGUCC